RNAcentral lists this ribosomal RNA (292 nucleotides) under uncultured bacterium. RNAcentral's name for it is "partial 16S ribosomal RNA". It matches the Rfam family "Bacterial small subunit ribosomal RNA", at positions 505 to 796 of the family's 1533-position model. The record is from RNAcentral.
GUGUCAGCAGCCGCGGUAAUACGGAGGGUGCAAAUGUUGCUCGGAAUCAUUGGGCGUAAAGCGCACGUAGGCGGGCUAGUAAGCCGGAUGUGAAAGCCCUCGGCUUAACUGAGGAAGUGCAUUCGAGACUGCUAACCUUGAGUACAGAAGAGGGUCGCGGAAUUCCCGGUGUAGAGGUGAAAUUCGUAGAUAUCGGGAGGAACACCAGUGGCGAAGGCGGCGACCUGGGCUGAUACUGACGCUGAGGUGCGAAAGCGUGGGGAGCAAACAGGAUUAGAAACCCUUGUAGUCC